AACUCUUAUGAAGAGACUGAUUUAAAUUCCAAACCGGCCAAAAAAUUGCAGAAUCAUUAUGUCAUGAAUGAUCCAUAAAGAUAUAACCUCUGAAAAAGUAAAGGCCUACCCUUUAACAAAGUGAAUUACUUUACUAAUGGGAAUCAGCAAUCAAAAAGUUCGAGAAAAUUCGAACCAGUAGAAUGAUUUGAGGAAUCAAAAUCUAUGAAAUUCCUGCAUAUUUCUCUUUAUUGAAAAAGUUUUUUAAAAAGAGUAUUAAAGUAUAACCAGUUUUAUUCCAAAAUAAUUUGGUUUCUGCCAACUGCUUAAUGAUUCCAUGUUGCAUCAAUUUAUGUUAAGGUUGCUGGAGAUGACUUUGCUAGAGUGAGAUUUUCGGAUCCUCAAAAGGAGAAUCCAAGAAAGCUACCGAAACAAGCCCACCAUUUCAACAAAUGGAAUCCUUCAUGGGAGUUCUCAUCAUAUUGUUUAGGCAACAAGGUGCAGGACUGGUUGCAGAAGCAGUUUCCAGGGCCAAUAAAAGACGACGAUGAUCAGAGGCAGAGUGAAUUGGCGGUGGUGGUUUCAGCUGCAGCAUAUUCCAUUCGAUCUCUGGGAGAAGCCAAAAUAAGAAAAAAAAUGUGAGAGAGGAGUUUGAAUUGCCAAUGACAAUGUCUAGGAAUUUUUGUUUUCCAGGUGAAACUUCUGCUGGAAAUUUGGCUGAGGCGGAACGUAGGAGACAAGAAAGUGCAAUACCGAUCAGCAGACCGAGUCAUUCACCCACUGUAAGAACCAUGAGCUAUGGGGAGAGAAACCGGAAGCAGCAGGCAAGACACUAGAAUGUGGAGACGAGCUGAUUCUUGGGAGAAACAAAUGGCAAAGAUCAAGACAGGGUAUGAGAAAUGGGAUCUUCAAUUCUUGUUUGGGAGAAUGAGAAGAAGAUGCAAGCUGAGCUCAAAAUGGAAAGAAAAAUGAGCCAAUUGGAGCAUAAAAGGGCUUUGAACCAACUGCACUACCAGACACAAAUAGCAAGAAUUGAGCGUAUUGCCAGAGAAGCAAAAGCACUAGUAGAAGAAGAAAGAAGAAACAAGGAGUAUAAGAUAAAACAAGAGGCCAAAAUGAUUAGAUCAAAGGGAAAGUUUCCUGUCAGGUGUUUCUACUGUUAAAUGGGCAGGAAACAGUGACUGAUAUGUGUGUGUGUGUAUGUGUGUAUAUAUAUAUAUAUGCAAAUUUCCACAAUGAGGGAAAGGAUUGUAUCUCUCAUACGUGCAAUUCAAUUGUUAUUUCCACAAUGUGACAAUUCAAUUAUAAUUAAAAUUGUCAGAAAAUGUGGAUACAAAUUUGUUGAUUUAAUGUAUAUUAUUUUGAUAUGGCCUGUUGACAAAUCUGUAAAUCUGCUGAUGUGUGAAGCUGUUAUGUUGUUAG
Mangifera indica (mango) is the source of this 1401-nucleotide long non-coding RNA. RefSeq lists it as uncharacterized. The transcript is spliced from 4 exons. The record is from RefSeq and is a predicted model, not a curated record. NCBI's taxonomy places the organism in Eukaryota, Viridiplantae, Streptophyta, Magnoliopsida, Sapindales, Anacardiaceae.